Cottoperca gobio is the source of this 422-nucleotide long non-coding RNA. RefSeq lists it as uncharacterized. The record is from RefSeq and is a predicted model, not a curated record. Lineage: Eukaryota; Metazoa; Chordata; Actinopteri; Perciformes; Bovichtidae. The transcript has 3 exons.
GGGCAGAGGGUCAGGAAACAGGCAAGGCAGGUUGAAGGAAUCUGGUCCGGGUCAGGAAACAGGCAAAGCAGGCAGGUCAGGGGCAGGCAGGGUCGGCAAUGAGAGAUCUGUUCAGGGAAGCGCGCUGGACAGACUUGCAUGAUGCGGAGUACAAUCUGGCAGUGAAGUGGAGGCCAGAGGAGGCUUAAAUACCAACUAGUCUUAAUUGUUUGCAGCAGGGAGAGUCAGGUGAGCUGCAGAGGAGGCUAGCAGAAGCUGCUGCAGUCAGAGUCAGUGUGCUGUGUGCAGACACAGCGCUGGGCGGCCGCCGCCCUGCUCCCCUGCUCAGUCCCAGCAGAGCGCCGCACCCGCAGGGAUCCCUGUCAGCAGGGCAAGAAUACCAGCAGCCUGCAGUUCCCCGGUGCUGUGGCUGAACUCCAGCU